Oncorhynchus keta (chum salmon) is the source of this 670-nucleotide long non-coding RNA. RefSeq lists it as uncharacterized. The record is from RefSeq and is a predicted model, not a curated record. Lineage: Eukaryota; Metazoa; Chordata; Actinopteri; Salmoniformes; Salmonidae. The transcript is spliced from 5 exons.
CUACCUCAUCUCUGUACCCCACACAUACAAUUAUCUGUAAGGUCCCUCAUCUCUGUACCCCACACAUACAAUUAUCUGUAAGGUCCCUCAUCUCUGUACCCCACACAUACAAUUAUCUGUAAGGUCCCUCAUCUCUGUACCCCCACACAUACAAUUAUCUGUAAGGUCCCUCAUCUCUGUACCCCACACAUACAAUUAUCUGUAAGGUCCCUCAUCUCUGUACCCCACACAUACAAUUAUCUGUAAGGUCCCUCAUCUCUGUACCCCACACAUACAAUUAUCUGUAAGGUCCCUCAUCUCUGUACCCCCACACAUACAAUUAUCUGUAAGGUCCCUCAUCUCUGUACCCCCACACAUACAAUUAUCUGUAAGGUCCCUCAUCUCUGUACCCCACACAUACAAUUAUCUGUAAGGUCCCUCAUCUCUGUACCCCACACAUACAAUUAUCUGUAAGGUCCCUCAUCUCUGUACCCCCACACAUACAAUUAUCUGUAAGGUCCCUCAUCUCUGUACCCCACACAUACAAUUAUCUGUAAGGUCCCUCAUCUCUGUACCCCCACACAUACAAUUAUCUGUAAGGUCCCUCAUCUCUGUACCCCACACAUACAAUUAUCUGUAAGGUCCCUCAUCUCUGUACCCCACACAUACAAUUAUCUGUAAGGUCCCUCAG